This 681-nucleotide ribosomal RNA is filed under the name uncultured Flavobacterium sp. RNAcentral describes it as "bacterial SSU rRNA". It matches the Rfam family "Bacterial small subunit ribosomal RNA", at positions 10 to 684 of the family's 1533-position model. The record is from RNAcentral. Lineage: Bacteria; Pseudomonadati; Bacteroidota; Flavobacteriia; Flavobacteriales; Flavobacteriaceae.
AGUUGUAUCCUGGCUCCCGNUGAACGCUAGCGGCAGGCUUAACACAUGCAAGUCGAGGGGUNACAGAUGUAGCUUGCUAUAUGCUGACGACCGGCGCACGGGUGCGUAACGCGUAUAGAAUCUACCUUGUACAUAGGGAUAGCCCAGAGAAAUUUGGAUUAAUACCUUAUAGUAUUGUUGAAUGGCAUCAUUUGACACUUAAACAUUUAUGGGUACAAGAUGACUAUGCGUCCUAUUAGUUAGUUGGUAAGGUAACGGCUUACCAAGACAUCGAUAGGUAGGGGUCCUGAGAGGGAGAUCCCCCACACUGGUACUGAGACACGGACCAGACUCCUACGGGAGGCAGCAGUGAGGAAUAUUGGACAAUGGAGGCAACUCUGAUCCAGCCAUGCCGCGUGAAGGAAGACUGCCCUAUGGGUUGUAAACUUCUUUUAUAUAGGAAGAAACCGUGGUAUGUAUACCACCUUGACGGUACUAUAUGAAUAAGGACCGGCUAACUCCGUGCCAGCAGCCGCGGUAAUACGGAGGGUCCGAGCGUUAUCCGGAAUCAUUGGGUUUAAAGGGUCCGUAGGCGGGUUGAUAAGUCAGAGGUGAAAUCCCAUAGCUCAACUAUGGAACUGCCUUUGAUACUGUUAGCCUUGAGUCAUUUGGAAGUAGAUAGAAUGUGUAGUGUAGCGGUGA